AGUUUAGGGAGCUACCAUUUGAUUUUUAUGGGGGGGCUAGGAUGAAAUUUGAAAAAAAUAGGCAGGACAGGAGUUUUGAGUAAAAAAAAAAAGGCAGGAUGUGACACUUGCAAAAAAAAAAAGUCAGGACGACAAUUAAGGUAAAAAAAAGUCAGGAUAAACUAUAAAAAAAAAGGCAGGACCGAUUAGAGUGAAAAAUAAAAAGGCAGGACAGAGAUUACAGCUAAAAAAAAUGCAGGACAAAAUUUUUCAUCCUAGCCCCCCAUAAAAAUCAAAUGGUAGCUCCCUUAUAC
This 293-nucleotide long non-coding RNA is filed under the name Mytilus galloprovincialis (Mediterranean mussel). Lineage: Eukaryota; Metazoa; Mollusca; Bivalvia; Mytilida; Mytilidae. The record is from RNAcentral.